Non-coding RNA from Pelodiscus sinensis (Chinese soft-shelled turtle), 579 nucleotides. The record is from RefSeq and is a predicted model, not a curated record. NCBI's taxonomy places the organism in Eukaryota, Metazoa, Chordata, Testudines, Trionychidae.
CUUAAGCAACCACGCAAGGAACCACAGAGUUGCCUGCUUGAGAGACGUCCCCGUGGGUGUUCCACAGCUGGUGACUGCAAAGCAAUGUAUCCUAAGGAUGAUGGGACUUCAGAUCUGGCAGGGAAAGGAUCUUGGAUGAGACCAAUUAAAGGAAGAACAAUGAGAAACAGGUGACAAUGAACUACUUAUCUACAUAGAACAAUGCUGAGUGAAGAGCACUGCCGAGCUCUGUCCUAAGCCAGGGACGAUGAGACGGUACUGAGGGGAGGGUGACUGCUCAUACGCAGUUGCACCAUGCAGUGCUCAUGCACCCUGCUUCCCGCACAGGUGCGGCCCCUUAGACACUUCUGCGAAGUAUCUGGUCUGCUGCACUGGAAUGCACUGACAUCUGCUGUGGAGCACCUACAGCGACGUCUCUCUCGAAGAACUAGAUGUUCUGUUUUAUGAAAAGGGUGGAGACAAGUUUUUAAGAAAAAAGUGUGCCUUUAUUUACAUAGACCGUCUACUGGCUUUUCCAAGAGUACAUUGGGCUCAGAGUGUUUACAUUUCCCUGAGGCACCAAAUUUGACACCCAUGUCA